Molecule: ribosomal RNA, 501 nt
Filed under: Pristimantis sp. AC 5.15
Lineage: Eukaryota; Metazoa; Chordata; Amphibia; Anura; Strabomantidae
Description: partial 16S ribosomal RNA
Rfam family: Bacterial large subunit ribosomal RNA
Source: RNAcentral
CUGCCCAGUGACUCAAUUCAACGGCCGCGGUAUCCUAACCGUGCGAAGGUAGCGUAAUCACUUGUCUUCUAAAUAAAGACUAGUAUGAAAGGCAUCACGAGAGCUAAACUGUCUCCCCCCUCUAAUCAGUGAACCUAAUCUCCCCGUGAAGAAGCGAGGAUUAAUAUAUAAGACGAGAAGACCCUGUGGAGCUUAAAACAUCAUAACACCUGCUAGAUUUUUUCCCCAUUCAGAUUUCUCACCCCAGCAUGCUGAUUAUAAGUUUUUGGUUGGGGUGACCGCGGAGAAAAAUUUAUCCUCCACAAUGAAAGGAGCCCCCCCCCAACAAUAAGUUACAACUUUACAUUUCAAUAAAUUGACAUCCAUUGACCCAAUACUUGAUCAACGAACCAAGUUACCCCAGGGAUAACAGCGCAAUCCACUUUAAGAGCUCCUAUCGACAAGUGGGCUUACGACCUCGAUGUUGGAUCGGGGUAUCCUAGUGGUGCAGCAGCUACUAAA